This 449-nucleotide ribosomal RNA is filed under the name uncultured bacterium. Its description in RNAcentral is "bacterial SSU rRNA". It matches the Rfam family "Bacterial small subunit ribosomal RNA", at positions 328 to 793 of the family's 1533-position model. The record is from RNAcentral.
UCAGUCGACUCCUACGGGAGCAGCAGUGGGGAAUCUUGCGCAAUGGGCGAAAGCCUGACGCAGCCAUGCCGCGUGAAUGAUGAAGGUCUUAGGAUUGGUAAAAUUCUUUCACCGGGGACGAUAAUGACGGUACCCCGGAGAAGAAGCCCGGCUAACUUCGUGCCAGCAGCCGCGGUAAUACGAAGGGGGCUAGCGUUGCUCGGAAUUACUGGGCGUAAAGGGAGCGUAGGCGGACAUUUAAGUCAGGGGUGAAAUACCCGGGGCUCAACCUCGGAAUUGCCUUUGAUACUGGGUGUCUUGAGUGUGAGAGAGGUAUGUGGAACUCCGAGUGUAGAGGUGAAAUUCGUAGAUAUUCGGAAGAACACCAGUGGCGAAGGCGACAUACUGGCUCAUUACUGACGCUGAGGCUCGAAAGCGUGGGGAGCAAACAGGAUUAGAUACCCUGGUAG